CGGCCUUUUGGCUAAGAUCAAGUGUAG
RNAcentral lists this non-coding RNA (27 nucleotides) under Gallus gallus (chicken). RNAcentral also lists the same sequence under 2 other names. The record is from RNAcentral. Lineage: Eukaryota; Metazoa; Chordata; Aves; Galliformes; Phasianidae.